CAGUCGCCGCGGUAAAACGUAGGUGGCAAGCGUUGUCCGGAAUUAUUGGGCGUAAAGCGCGCGCAGGCGGAUAGGUCAGUCUGUCUUAAAAGUUCGGGGCUUAACCCCGUGAUGGGAUGGAAACUGCCAAUCUAGAGUAUCGGAGAGGAAAGUGGAAUUCCUAGUGUAGCGGUGAAAUGCGUAGAUAUUAGGAAGAACACCAGUGGCGAAGGCGACUUUCUGGACGAAAACUGACGCUGAGGCGCGAAAGCCAGGGGAGCGAACGGGAUUAGAUACCCCCGUAGUCCCUGUCUCUUAUACA
This 301-nucleotide ribosomal RNA is filed under the name uncultured bacterium. Its description in RNAcentral is "partial 16S ribosomal RNA". It matches the Rfam family "Bacterial small subunit ribosomal RNA", at positions 509 to 809 of the family's 1533-position model. The record is from RNAcentral.